GCAAGUCGAGGGAGAAGUCAGGUGCUUGCACUUGAUAGGAACCGACGAACGGGUGCGUCACACGUAUGCAACCUACCUAUAACUGGGGGUUAGCCCGAAGAAAUUCGGAUUAAUACCCUAUAAUAUUUAGAUAUCGCAUGAUAUUUAUCUUAAAACUCCGGUGGUUAUAGAUGGGCAUGCGGUCUAUUAGUUAGUUGGUAGGGUAACGGCUUACCAAGACUACGAUAGAUAGCGGGUCUGAGAGGAUGAUC
RNAcentral lists this ribosomal RNA (251 nucleotides) under uncultured bacterium. RNAcentral describes it as "partial 16S ribosomal RNA". It matches the Rfam family "Bacterial small subunit ribosomal RNA", at positions 57 to 305 of the family's 1533-position model. The record is from RNAcentral.